This is a non-coding RNA of Acanthosepion pharaonis, 98 nucleotides long. NCBI's taxonomy places the organism in Eukaryota, Metazoa, Mollusca, Cephalopoda, Sepiida, Sepiidae. The record is from the annotation of a GenBank genome assembly.
GUUAAAACACCGGUUUCGGUACGAUCACCUAAGUUAAGCAACGUUGAGCCUUGUUAGUACCUAGGUGGGUGAUCGCUUGGGAGUACCAGAUGUUGUGA